CUUGUUAGUACUGGAUGGGAGACCGCCUGGGAAUACCGAG
Molecule: ribosomal RNA, 40 nt
Filed under: Tursiops truncatus (common bottlenose dolphin)
Lineage: Eukaryota; Metazoa; Chordata; Mammalia; Artiodactyla; Delphinidae
Source: RNAcentral